GUGGAUUCGAUACCCUAGUAGUCCACGCCCUAAACGAUGAUUACUGGACAUUUGCGAUAUACAGUGAGUGUCUGAGCGAAAGCAUUAAGUAAUCCACCUGGGAAGUACGUCCGCAAGGAUGAAACUCAAAGGAAUUGACGGGGGUCCGCACAAGCGGUGGAGUAUGUGGUUUAAUUCGAUGAUACGCGAGGAACCUUACCUGGGCUAGAAUGCGCGUGACCGGUUCUGAAAGGAACUUUUCUAGCAAUAGACACAAAGCAAGGUGCUGCACGGCCGUCGACAACU
RNAcentral lists this ribosomal RNA (285 nucleotides) under uncultured bacterium. RNAcentral's name for it is "partial 16S ribosomal RNA". It matches the Rfam family "Bacterial small subunit ribosomal RNA", at positions 773 to 1060 of the family's 1533-position model. The record is from RNAcentral.